Euleptes europaea (tarantolino) is the source of this 145-nucleotide small nucleolar RNA. RefSeq annotates it as small nucleolar RNA SNORD94. The transcript has a single exon. Lineage: Eukaryota; Metazoa; Chordata; Lepidosauria; Squamata; Sphaerodactylidae. The record is from RefSeq and is a predicted model, not a curated record.
GUGGCAGUGAUGAUUGGCGCAGGGGUACAGACCUCAGCUAGAUCAUGGGAGCUGAGUGUAAGCUGUCUGUGUUCCAGCACUGCUGGCAUGUCGCUGGCUUCCUGGAGAGUAGCUUACAUGAGAACUUUGCCUUAUGCUGAGCCAC